Cyprinus carpio (common carp) is the source of this 894-nucleotide long non-coding RNA. The record is from Ensembl. NCBI's taxonomy places the organism in Eukaryota, Metazoa, Chordata, Actinopteri, Cypriniformes, Cyprinidae.
CUCACACACUGCUUUAAAGUGUUGUGUUAACCUUUAAACUCCUAGGUCAGACUUUUAUUUUUUAGGCUGACCUCCUCCUUCUUAUGUUAAAAGGUAUAAAGUAAAGGGAUGUACAGGAAGCUCACUCAGGAAACAGGAAAGGUGUUUGCACACUCCUGCACAAUGCAGUUAUUAGCAGCUUGAAGAGGUUGUUGGGGAGGUUUAUGCUCAGAAGUAUUGUCACGGUAAUACAGAAAAUAGCUGGAGCUACAUUAUUAUCUUUUAAAAAGCUGAAAUAUCUUCAGUAUGCAAUUUCCUGUUCUUCUCUUCAUCUCAUCUGUUUCAGCAGUAGUUGGCAUGGUGAGUGUAUUAGUUACCAAACCUGUGAUAUCCUACUGCCACCAGGCUAUCACUCUGCACUGCAAUGUUUCUCUGUCUGAUGGAAAGGACCGUGAAUUCCAGGUUACUCAUCUGAGCUGGAUUAAAGAAUCAAAUAAAACAGUUUGCUCAGAAAGCAAGACAGCUAAGAAAGGUUCCAUCCACUGCCAAUACAUGCCAAACAAACAGCUGGUACUAACUAUUGCCCACCCAAAAUCAGAUGACAUCGGACGCUAUAUCUGCAAACUCCGAUCCUCCUAUGGACAUACAAGUGCUGAUACCAAUGUGACAUUGGAGUGUCCCCAGGAAAUUGUCCAGAUAAAUGAAGAUGGAAAAAACAGGGUGACCUGCAAGGUUGAGAGGUCAAACCAUGAUGGGCGUAUCCACUGGUUUCAUGGAACAGUCAAUCUAACGAGCCAAUCAACCCAGGACAUAAAGUCUGCUGCUGAUGGAUCAUAUACAGUGUGCAAGAGCCAGACAAGGAAACAGAGUCACAGGGAACACAGGCGGCAGGACACAAGGCUGGUGGAGUGGUGA